UUAUAAGAGACAGCAGCCGCCGCGGUAAUACGAAGGGUGCAAGCGUUAAUCGGAAUUACUGGGCGUAAAGCGUGCGUAGGCGGUGAGUUAAGUCUGUUGUGAAAUCCCCGGGCUCAACCUGGGAAUGGCAAUGGAUACUGGCUCGCUAGAGUGUGAUAGAGGAUGGUGGAAUUCCCGGUGUAGCGGUGAAAUGCGUAGAGAUCGGGAGGAACAUCAGUGGCGAAGGCGGCCAUCUGGAUCAACACUGACGCUGAGGCACGAAAGCGUGGGGAGCAAACAGGAUUAGAUACCCCCGUAGUCCCUGUCUCUUAUAC
RNAcentral lists this ribosomal RNA (314 nucleotides) under uncultured bacterium. Its description in RNAcentral is "partial 16S ribosomal RNA". It matches the Rfam family "Bacterial small subunit ribosomal RNA", at positions 499 to 807 of the family's 1533-position model. The record is from RNAcentral.